GACGAACGCUGGCGGCGUGCUUAACACAUGCAAGUCGAACGGAAAGGCCUCUUUCGGGGGGUACUCGAGUGGCGAACGGGUGAGUAACACGUGAGUAACCUGCCCUUGACUUUGGGAUAACUUCAGGAAACUGGGGCUAAUACCGGAUAGGAGAUCCUGCUGCAUGGUGGGGGUUGGAAAGUUUCGGCGGUUGGGGAUGGACUCGCGGCUUAUCAGCUUGUUGGUGGGGUAGUGGCUUACCAAGGCUUUGACGGGUAGCCGGCCUGAGAGGGUGACCGGCCACAUUGGGACUGAGAUACGGCCCAGACUCCUACGGGAGGCAGCAGUUGGGAAUAUUGCACAAUGGGUGGAAGCCUGAUGCAGCAACGCCGUGUGCGGGAUGACGGCCUUCGGGUUGUAAACCGCUUUCGCUCAUGACGAAGCUUUGUGUGACGGUAGUGGGUAAAGAAGCACCGGCUAACUACGUG
RNAcentral lists this ribosomal RNA (467 nucleotides) under uncultured bacterium. Its description in RNAcentral is "partial 16S ribosomal RNA". It matches the Rfam family "Bacterial small subunit ribosomal RNA", at positions 28 to 507 of the family's 1533-position model. The record is from RNAcentral.